CAAGACCCAAAAAGAAACAAAAAACACUCCCUCUCUCGGCUCUCUCCCUCAAAAAAAAAAAAAGAACAAAAAAAACGGAAGAAAGCUCCGUCACUCUCUCGCUCUCUCGGACUUGGGCAGAAGAAAAAAAAAACAGAGAAAAAGAAAAAACUCUCGCCUCACCCUCGGCUCUCCUCUCUCCCAGUAUUUCCACAACACCCUUGCAGACAACAAAAGGGAGGCAGCGACUGGUUGGGCUAUUGGAGCUUGGCAAUCUCAUCAAAAACUUUGGCCAAGGGACUAAGCUCUUGAUUGAGGUAUUUCUUGUCUUUUUUUUCCAGCUUUUCUUUUUUUUUUUAAUUAACUAGAUUAAAUGUAUG
RNAcentral lists this long non-coding RNA (359 nucleotides) under Coffea arabica (coffee). Its description in RNAcentral is "long non-coding RNA (CARA_LNC004282)". Lineage: Eukaryota; Viridiplantae; Streptophyta; Magnoliopsida; Gentianales; Rubiaceae. The record is from RNAcentral.